UCUCAGGUAGACCACUUCCAU
RNAcentral lists this unclassified non-coding RNA (21 nucleotides) under Mus musculus (house mouse). RNAcentral describes it as "oocyte_clustered_small_RNA2264". Lineage: Eukaryota; Metazoa; Chordata; Mammalia; Rodentia; Muridae. The record is from RNAcentral.